This 429-nucleotide ribosomal RNA is filed under the name uncultured archaeon. Its description in RNAcentral is "bacterial SSU rRNA". It matches the Rfam family "Archaeal small subunit ribosomal RNA", at positions 474 to 903 of the family's 1478-position model. The record is from RNAcentral.
AACCAGCUCUUCAAGUGGUCGGGAAUAUUAUUGGGCUUAAAGUGUCCGUAGCCGGUUUGAUAAGUUCCUGGUAAAAUCUGGUCGCUUAACGGCCAGUAGGCUAGGAAUACUAUCUUACUAGAGGGCGGGAAAGGUCUGAGGUACUCCAGGGGUAGCGGUGAAAUGCUAUAAUCCUUGGGGGACCACCAGUGGCGAAGGCGUCAGACUGGAACGCGCCUGACGGUGAGGGACGAAAGCCAGGGGAGCGAACGGGAUUAGAUACCCCGGUAGUCCUGGCCGUAAACGAUGCGUGCUAGGUGUUGGUAGGGCUAUGAGCUGUAUCAGUGCCGUAGGGAAACUGUUAAGCGCGCCGCCUGGGAAGUACGCUCGCAAGGGUGAAACUUAAAGGAAUUGGCGGGGGAGCACCACAAGGGGUGAAGCCUGCGGUUC